Molecule: ribosomal RNA, 424 nt
Filed under: uncultured Elizabethkingia sp.
Lineage: Bacteria; Pseudomonadati; Bacteroidota; Flavobacteriia; Flavobacteriales; Weeksellaceae
Description: bacterial SSU rRNA
Rfam family: Bacterial small subunit ribosomal RNA
Source: RNAcentral
UGAGGAAUAUUGGACAAUGGGUGGAAGCCUGAUCCAGCCAUCCCGCGUGUAGGAAGACGGCCCUAUGGGUUGUAAACUACUUUUAUCUGGGGAUAAACCUACUUACGUGUAAGUAGCUGAAGGUACCAGAUGAAUAAGCACCGGCUAACUCCGUGCCAGCAGCCGCGGUAAUACGGAGGGUGCAAGCGUUAUCCGGAUUUAUUGGGUUUAAAGGGUCCGUAGGCGGGCUUAUAAGUCAGUGGUGAAAUCCGACAGCUUAACUGUCGAACUGCCAUUGAUACUGUGAGCCUUGAGUAAGGUUGAAGUGGCUGGAAUAAGUAGUGUAGCGGUGAAAUGCAUAGAUAUUUACUUUAGAACACCAAUUGCGAAGGCAGGUCACUAAGUCUUAACUGACGCUGAUGGACGAAAGCGUGGGGAGCGAACA